RNAcentral lists this ribosomal RNA (468 nucleotides) under uncultured bacterium. Its description in RNAcentral is "partial 16S ribosomal RNA". It matches the Rfam family "Bacterial small subunit ribosomal RNA", at positions 28 to 507 of the family's 1533-position model. The record is from RNAcentral.
GACGAACGCUGGCGGCGUGCUUAACACAUGCAAGUCGAACGGAAAGGCCCUGCUUUUGUGGGGUGCUCGAGUGGCGAACGGGUGAGUAACACGUGAGUAACCUGCCCUUGACUUUGGAAUAACUUCAGGAAACUGGGGCUAAUACCGGAUAGGAGCUCCUGCUGCAUGGUGGGGGUUGGAAAGUUUCGGCGGUUGGGGAUGGACUCGCGGGUUAUCAGCUUGUUGGUGGGGUAGUGGCUUACCCAGGCUUUGACGGGUAGCCGGCCUGGGAGGGUGACCGGCCACAAUGGGACUGAGGUACGGCCCAGACUCCUACGGUAGGCAGCAGUGGGGAAUAUUGCACAAUGGGCGGGAGCCUGAUGCAGCAACGCCGCGUGCGUGAUGACGGCCUGCGGGGUGUAAACCGCUUUCGCCUGUGACGAAGCGUGAGUGACGGUAAUGGGUAAAGAAGCACCGGCUAACUACGUG